CUGUCUGACGAGCCACUGUCACUGGAAUCAGAGGAGCUCUGGAAGCAGAUUUCACAGUAGGGCCUGUGGCAGCGGCAGAAGAACUCAUCCGAGCUGCUGGAUUCUGUGUCGAGGAGGGAGUUCCGAACCAGUGAGCAACUGGUGAAUAAGCGGAAGGACUUGCAGCUGAGCACCUGCCUGCUCAUUCUCCCUUUUCCUCAGCCACAGAGCGGUAAGCUGGGCGUUGUCGCGGAAGUGUAGGUGACUCAAGGACUCGCCAGGAGCAGAGCGGAAAAGGAAGUGGGACUCUGUUUUCACCAUGACUGCAUACUAAUCAGAAGCGUGGUUUGCCACGGUGAGACCAAAAUCUGACUGACCAUGGCAGCUGCAUUGAAACGAGCUUAUUAAUGAUCACUUUUGGCACACCCAGGGAAGCAACACAUCCACAGGCAUGUUUCAUAAGGUGCAGGCCACAGGGAGAAAUGGAAUCUCCCCCUCUUUCUGUGUUUCAAGGAAGAAAAGUAAAGGUGAGUUUCCUCUGCUGCAGAGCGUAGAAGGGAGGUUCUUCAAGCUCUGGGAAGGUUCUACCUGCUGGCCUCCACACAGCCUGGGAUGUCAGGGAUGGAUGCUGCCCCAAACAGCCUUUGGGGACCAUUGCCAUGGGGAAAGGGAGGCAAGAAUGAGAAGAUGGACUGCCCAGAUGGUGCGAAAGUAGGAGGAGGACACUGGGGCAGCAGAGGGGCUGCAGAGGAGGGAAAUACAGCCGAGAAGCUGGGGUUACGGAGGCAGGAGAGAUUCUUGUGUUCAUCCACUGGGCAGUGCUGGAGCUGGGGAUUCAGAUACCGGAAACUCUCUAGGCCUGCCACAGGGCUCUGGGAUGGGCUGCUGGUUCUCAGGCCUGCUCUGGGAAAAGUGUUCAGGUGUGGGGUGUCGGCGACAGGAGUCCAGCAUUUUACUACCUAAGCAUCUGCUCCCUCUUAGGGCCCUGCCUCUGCAGACUCAAGGCAUCUUUUUGGUAGAGCGGAUUCAGUCACUGCAUGGGAAACAGGGUAGCAUGGCAGGAGUACAAAAAGAACGUCACAAAUUACCAUAAGGCUAAAGAGUCAGGCCACUUGGCUGUUCCAACAUUAGCUGAUUGUGAAUGAAAACCAUCCUGGGUGUUCUCGCCAAGUUUCUGGCCUUCUGUUUAGCUGAAAAAAAAUGUUUCUUUGAAGACUUCGGAGAGUAUCAAUGGCAAUGCUACUCCCUUGCCAGGUGGGAAGAAAUCUGGCUCUGAAAAAAGGUCCUGAAUGCUUGAUAAAUAGUAAAGAAAUAGUAAAGAAUAGUAAAGAAAUAGUAAAGAAAGGACUAGUAUUACUCUGAUGGAAAAAAAGGUCCAGAACCAAGGGAAUGGUGCGAGGGACUGAGGGUGCUUGGGGAGCUGAAUCCCUUCAUUGGUUACGUUCCUUAGGUCCCCAUCACACCAUCCUUUCGCAUAGGGACUAUUGGCACCCAGUGUCAGUCCAAUAUGAAAAAGCAUAAUUUCCCAUAUAGCACCUACUCAGGUAUGUUCUCUACUAAAACAAAAAUAUGGAAUAUAAUUUAGUUAGUGUGAAAAAACUGGCUAAUUCCUCUGGGCCCCGUGCCUCCUCUCUGAGGCAGUGCAGCCUCAAGCUUUCCCAUGUGCUUUCUUCAAGCCCACAUCACUCUGCCCAGUUCUGGGAGAGGUGCCAAAUCUGGCUGAAGAACAGAAGAAAGAGGACUGGGGGUUCCCUUGUCUCUGCCUUGGCGCUACUGCGAUAUUCAGAAGCUCUAUUCAUCCUUCCUCCCCAUCUUUAGACACCUCUUAAUUUUCUGGGUUGGUAGGAUGAUUGAGAUUUCUAGUUAGCACCUGGAAAAGACAGUAAGGAGCCCCAUAGGAUCUUGGAGACAAGGGCACUACUCUAUGUAAAGAAAGAGUGUAUCACACAGCAGAAGCUAGCAUCCACUACUCCUCAGGGCCUUUACAAUGCUGUUCCCCACACCUGAAAUGCUUUUCCCUGCACUCUUUGCCUGGCUAAUUUGUAGUUAACCUUCAGCUCUCAGCUCAGAGAGUCUUUUCCAACCACUCUAAAUUAGGUUCCCUUGUCCUCACCACUCUUUCUUCCCACUCUGAUUUUUCCCUUCAUAAUUCUUAUCACCAUUUAUAACUAUAUGGCUACUUGAUCCGUAUCUAUUUCCUCCACUACACUGUGAGCUCCAUAAAGGUAGGGACUCUGUUUGUUUUGUUCAUCAGCACUUAGCACAAUGCCUGGCACACAUCUGUCCAAUGAAUGAAUGAAGUGGGUGAGGGUCAGCAAUGGGAGGGGCACUGGCGAAACGCUGAGGUUUUGCUUGCUGCUAAGGGAGACCAGAAUGGCUAGGAAUUGGGGAAAUGGGAGGAGGAGAAAGAAUGUUAGCAAUGAGGCAUAUGGGGCCCACCAAUGCAUGACUGGAGCUCUUUAUAGAGAAUCCAGCAGGCAGGGUCU
This is a long non-coding RNA of Orcinus orca (killer whale), 2465 nucleotides long. RefSeq lists it as uncharacterized. The transcript is spliced from 3 exons. The record is from RefSeq and is a predicted model, not a curated record. NCBI's taxonomy places the organism in Eukaryota, Metazoa, Chordata, Mammalia, Artiodactyla, Delphinidae.